Molecule: ribosomal RNA, 1317 nt
Filed under: Triticum aestivum (bread wheat)
Lineage: Eukaryota; Viridiplantae; Streptophyta; Magnoliopsida; Poales; Poaceae
Description: partial small subunit ribosomal RNA
Source: RNAcentral
AUGCUUUGUACUUGUCCAUUGUUGGCUGUGACUCUACUCAAUUAUUGUCCUUGGAGCGGGCCCGUCAGAUACAGGAGCCUUCCUCUUAGGGAUAUCAACCGGGUUUUUCGCUUGCUGAGUUGGCUGCGUUUCAUGCACGUUUGCAGUGACGAAAAGAUCCCCGUUUUUUUUAUUGAUAAGAGGACAAGCCACAACUCUCCUGUUUUUGUUGAUCCUCUCCCUUCACUAGCCUUGCCUAUGACGUACACAACACCUACUAGCUUCCCAUCUUCUGGGCUUUACCUGAACACCCCAAAGAAGAAACCUCUUCCCAGCAAGAUCGAAGAGGUUCGUGCUGCCGGAUGGCUUGAUCUGAUGCUCGCCUCAUCACCUCCUCGUAAGAGGCAAAGCAAGGACUUCUUACCCCAUGAUGUUCAAGCUGAUGAUCUUGAUUUGCGGUAUCGUAAUUGGAUGGUGAAUUAUCCUUCUGCGUUAGGCUCCUUCGAGGCAAUUACUGAGCUUGCCCGCGGGAAAAAAAUGGCAUUAUUUCUUGAUUAUGAUGGAACUCUUUCGCCUAUUGUGGACAAUCCUGCAAAUGCAGUAAUGUCUGACGAGAUGCGUGCUGCUGUGAGGCAUGUAGCAUCACUUUUCCCGACUGCAAUCAUUAGUGGAAGAUCUCGUGACAAGGUAUUUGACUUUGUGAAACUAACCGAGCUGUACUACGCCGGAAGUCAUGGAAUGGACAUCAUGGGGCCUAUUAGGAAGUCUGAGUCCAAUGGUCACCAUGUGGAAUGUGUUAGGUCCACUGAUUCAGAGGGUAAAGAGGUCAAUCUCUUCCAACCUGCAAGUGAGUUUUUACCUAUGAUAGCUGAGGUGUUCGAAAAUCUUAGUGAGAGUAUAAAGGACAUCGAAGGUGCAAGGAUGGAAGAUAACAAGUUCUGCGUGUCUGUGCAUUAUCGAAACGUUGCACCACAUGACUACGAAACAGUUCAUCAGCGUGUAACUGCUGUUCUGAAGGAUUACCCUUGUCUUAGGCUUACCCAUGGGAGGAAGGUUCUUGAAGUUCGCCCUGUCAUUGACUGGAACAAGGGGAAAGCUGUGGAAUUUUUGCUUGAAUCGCUUGGACUAAACGAGAGCGACGAUGUUCUUCCCAUCUAUGUCGGAGAUGACAAGACUGACGAAGAUGCAUUCAAGGUUCUGAAAGCGAACAACCAUGGCUUUGGAAUUCUGGUUUCAUCUGUGCCCAAGGACAGUGAUGCCUUCUAUUCCCUGAGGGAUCCAUCUGAGGUGAUGGAAUUCCUGAGGACAUUGGCAGCAUGGAAGGAAGGUUCUAGCUGA